This is a non-coding RNA of Mustela putorius furo (domestic ferret), 83 nucleotides long. The record is from Rfam. Lineage: Eukaryota; Metazoa; Chordata; Mammalia; Carnivora; Mustelidae.
AGCCUGUGAUGAGCUGCCGUACUUCUGACACCUCGUAUGACAACUGCGCUCGCAGUCUGAUUAUCCGCACGCUACUGAGGCUU